Molecule: ribosomal RNA, 253 nt
Filed under: uncultured bacterium
Lineage: Bacteria
Description: partial 16S ribosomal RNA
Rfam family: Bacterial small subunit ribosomal RNA
Source: RNAcentral
UACGUAGGGUGCAAGCGUCGUCCGGAAUUAUUGGGCGUAAAGAGCUCGUAGGCGGUCUGUUGCGUCGGCUGUGAAAACCCGGGGCUCAACUCCGGGCCUGCAGCCGAUACGGGCAGACUAGAGUUCGGCAGGGGAGACUGGAAUUCCUGGUGUAGCGGUGAAAUGCGCAGAUAUCAGGAGGAACACCGGUGGCGAAGGCGAGUCUCUGGGCCGAUACUGACGCUGAGGAGCGAAAGCGUGGGGAGCGAACAGG